RNAcentral lists this non-coding RNA (31 nucleotides) under Rattus norvegicus (Norway rat). The record is from RNAcentral. Lineage: Eukaryota; Metazoa; Chordata; Mammalia; Rodentia; Muridae.
UAGAUGUGCAUAUCAGUUUGUUCUUAACGGA